UAAGACCUGCACUUUUGGAGCGGCCGAUGUCUGAUUAGCUAGUUGGUGGGGUAAUGGCCUACCAAAGCUUCGAUCAGUAGCUGGUCUGAGAGGACGGCCAGCCACACUGGGACUGAGACACGGCCCAGACUCCUACGGGAGGCAGCAGUGGGGAAUUUUGGACAAUGGGCGCAAGCCUGAUCCAGCCAUGCCGCGUGAGUGAAGAAGGCCUUCGGGUUGUAAAGCUCUUUCAGUCGGGAAGAAAAGGUUGCGACUAAUAAUCGCAAUUCAUGACGGUACCGGAAGAAGAAGCACCGGCUAACUACGUGCCAGCAGCCGCGGUAAUACGUAGGGUGCGAGCGUUAAUCGGAAUUACUGGGCGUAAAGGGUGCGCAGGCGGUUUUGUAAGUCAGAUGUGAAAUCCCCGGGCUUAACCUGGGAACU
Molecule: ribosomal RNA, 423 nt
Filed under: uncultured bacterium
Lineage: Bacteria
Description: bacterial SSU rRNA
Rfam family: Bacterial small subunit ribosomal RNA
Source: RNAcentral